UUCAGGAAACCCGAGAGGUGCGCGGUGCCAAACAGGUUGUGAGUCAGAGCUCCUCUUGGGGGGCCAGGGGGGAGGGCGCCUUCUCCUGCUUCCUUUCCCAGUCAUUCCGCGGAGCAUCAUGAAACAUUGAUUAAACCCCUACCGUGGGCCUAGCCCUGUAGUGGGGGCCAGGUCGGUUUCAGCGGGUGCGUGGGCUGGGAGCACACGUGUCCUGGUCCCUGGUCCCGGAGUGUGGCGAGCUUCCGGAGACUUUGAUCAACUCCGUCUCCUUUCCGAGUUCCAGUGUCCCCCAUGCCUAAGGUCCUGAUGCCAUCCUAGCCUCCUUCCGACUCUGGAUUGCUUCUGGGAGCUGCCUAGCACGGCUCCUGCUCUGGGUUUUGGUAAGAAUUCAGUUAUUUGAGAAGAGCCCUCCCGGCCUUUGAAAGUAAGGAGCAGGAUAUAUGGAAUAGAUCCCUCACAUGUGGCAAAUCUGGAUAAUACAGAUACUGGCUUCCAAGAUGAGCCUAUGAAGUGAGAGAACCAGGCAAGUUCUGGAGGCAAGAACUGGAAACUGCCAAUCGAACAGGCAUCGUGAUCUGGUGGCAAAAGCUUGCUGUCCUUCAUCCUGGGUUCUAGGAACAAUUCUGCUUGAUAUGUUCUAUGAUUUGGGGCAGAUCCCAGAGAAAGGAUGACAUUGAGAAGUCACCCCACCUCUGCCACCAAUGCCUGAUGGACAUAUAGCCUGAGACAUAGAUACAUCCUAUCAUUUAAGCCACUGAGAUUGAGAAUUUGGAGUUUGUUUUGACAGCAUAAGUUUACCUAACCAACUGAUACAUCUUCCAGCCUCAAACCCAAUCUUCCCUGUCCAGAGACAACCACGAUUAUGAAGUCAUUGGGAAUAUUUCCAUUCAUAUUUCCUAAAAAUUUCCAAAAGAGAAACAGAAACAGAGAGAGCAGAGAGGGUGAGGGACAAGCAGUCUCUGCACUGAGCACAAAGCCUGACACGGAGUUUGAUCCUAUGACCCUGACAUCAUUGCCUGAGCCAAAAGUCAUGAACUGAUGUCUCCAAUGACUGAGCAACCCAGAUGGGGAAACUGAAGGAGAAGAGGAGAAGGAACUUCAUAUCGCAGAGAUCAGCAUCCAGUUUGGUUGCUCUGGAAGAAACAAGAGAAGAGUGCUUCUGAGUACAUAGAUCCUCCUUUGGAUGCAUAAUAAGGAUCACAUGGUGGGGAUCCUGGAUUUCCGUCUUGACUGCCCCUAUGCAUCAGCACCAAGAGAAUGGGGCCAGAGAGUGGUGAGAGGGAGAGAUGCCUCAGGAAGCCUCCCCUGGAAGGAAGAACUGAUCCUGCCUUAAAGCCCCCCCUCACCACCCAGGCCAGAGACAAAACGCAUACCAUAGAAGAGGCAUCCAGAAUGGAAACAACUGUCCAAGCCACCGCAGGAAGCUUACACCCCACGUUCCCAGGCAGAAGUGUGGAUGUUUCCAAACCUAACAGUCUUGGUCCUGGUUGGGUGACACAGACAGACCUAUCUGAGGAGGGGACAUUCAGCAUUUGAGACAUAAGAGAUAAGAAAAAACCAUCUACGUGAAAAGAAGAGGGGAAGGCUUUGCUGACUGAACGAACAGCUACUAAAAAUCACUUUUGGAGUGCUCCAAGAAGAAACAGAAGUGUGGCUGAAGAAUGACAGGAGAAAAGAGAGCAGAACAUUCCAGAAGGAAGACAUGCCCUGGCCAAGGCCCUCAGGGGUAAAUUGUUAUGGGCACCCAGGUCUCCCAUUUCAAGAUCUUCCAAAAUCUGGCUCCCUGUGAUGGUUAAUUUUAUGUGUCAUCUUGUCUGGACCAUGGGGUGCCCAGAUUAAACAUUAUUUCUGGGAGGGGGCAGUGUUUGAAGACGUUUUUUGGAUGAGAUUAACAUUUCAAUGGGCGGAUUCAGUAGAUUGCCCUCCUCAGUAUGGGUGGGAAUCAUCCAAUCCCUCAAGGGACAAAACAGAACAAAAGGUAGAAGAAGGAAGAAUUCACCCCUCUUGCUUUCUACCUGCCAGAUGGAGCUGGAAUAUCAGUCCCCUGCUUUGGACUGUGAAUUAUACCCUUGGUUCCCUGGUGCCCUGGUUCCCUGGUUCUCAGGCCUCAGCACUUGGACUGCAAUUAUACCAAAGCAUCCCAGCGUCUCCAAAUUGCAGAUGACAGAUUGUGGGGCUUCUUAGGCUCCAUGAUCCUGUGGAACAAUUUCUCAUAAUAAAUACCCACGCCUGUAUAUAUUUUAUUGAUUCUGUUUCUCUGGAGAAUCCUGACUAAUGCGUUCCCUGAUCUUUCUUUUCCCAGAAGUCUCCGGGCUGAUGGAAUGGCUCCUGGUCUACCUUGUGCACUUGUGGAGCACUCACAUCAUACAGCCCCUUAGAGCUCACGAGGCACUCGGACCAGUGGUUACUCUCGUGUGGUCAUCACGUGCCCCACAUGAGAUGGGUCAUUUGAACUAUUCUAGGAGCGCCUGAGUGGCUCAGUCAGUUACGUGUCUGCCUUCGGCUGGGGUCAUGUUCCAGAAGCCUGGCAUCUAGGUCAAUGUGGGGCUUUCCCCUCAGUGGGGAGUCUGCUUCUCCCUCUCCCUCUGCCCCUGCCUUGCUCGUGCUUUCUCU
Long non-coding RNA from Canis lupus familiaris (dog), 2613 nucleotides. RefSeq lists it as uncharacterized. Lineage: Eukaryota; Metazoa; Chordata; Mammalia; Carnivora; Canidae. The transcript is spliced from 10 exons. The record is from RefSeq and is a predicted model, not a curated record.